Long non-coding RNA from Plodia interpunctella (Indianmeal moth), 1431 nucleotides. RefSeq lists it as uncharacterized. Lineage: Eukaryota; Metazoa; Arthropoda; Insecta; Lepidoptera; Pyralidae. The record is from RefSeq and is a predicted model, not a curated record. The transcript is spliced from 3 exons.
UUAGAUCUUUAAAUCUACGCAAUGGAUUUUGAUGCAGAUUUUUUAAAUAUAUAGUAUAAAGGUUUAGAUGAUGAUUUAUUAUGGUCAUACAUAAAGAAAGAUAUUCAGCGGUAAGUGUCGACGAUUGUUGCUCUGCGGACAGACUAGUUGGUCAGCAAGGACUGCUCACUUCAACCUUGACGCAUUUCUACUUGGGCUCGACUCUCCUAAUCCUGCAGCUCCAGAGCGAUGGUCGUUCGUGUAAUUUUCUUCACACUCACUGAAGGUUUAGAAUCUUUGUACCACAAAAAUAUAUAUUAUUGAAACUAUUUGCAAAAAGCCGUCUCACGAGCGCCGCGAUAUAUACUUUUACGUUUGGAAAAACAGCAAGCAAAUGAAUGAUAUGGGUAUUAUGAUGAGUUGAGUACAUUUUAUACUCCUUUCUGAGCAAUCGGGUACUGAGAAUAUACUAAAAAUAUUCUGUGACAAUCUUACAUCACUUCACUGAGAAUCACAUCAGACACAACUGUCAGACAAUCAAGAUUUUCAGUGUUUGCCUACCUUAAGACAGGCCUGCUGCCCAUAACUGUCAGGAUUUGACAGAAAUCAAAAGAAGAAAGCUUAGAAACGGAGAAACGACAUGGAGGGUGACUUUGUUUUAUACUAUAUAGUGAUGAAUACAUAUAUGUUUUUUUAAUAAUGAAAAAAUCUUCUUUGGCUCUUCGAUAGCCCUGUUCCAAGGCAUGUAGUUCGAUUCCCGAUACCCAUUUAAUCCGGCAUAGCUGAUCAGGAAUCCCAGUUCUUGCUUGACGUCGCUUCCCACUAACCAGCCAGCGCUGGUCAUUAUCGCCUUAAUAGAACAAACACGUUUGCUGGGAACCAACCGACCGGGCCAGGUGACAGUGGAGUGGAGUUACCCGAUCGCCACUUGUCGAUUUCAAACAUAUUUUAUUCGACGUCAUUUAAGUCAAGUACCACGAUACUGACUUGAUUAGUUGUUUGGAGAAUUUAUUUACACUAUCUGUAUAAUGUGAUAACACACACUUAAGAAGUAAGCUAAGCAAGCGUUCAAUUUUAUAAUAUAACCCGUAAACAUUUUCAAUUCACAAGUACGCCAGCCGAAUAACAUUGUCAGGUUAAAUAAACAGAAUGUAAUUCAGAAUUCCAGAAAUUUCGCAAUCUUGAUUUAAAAGGUUUUACCCGAGCGAAGCCGGGUUGGGUCGCUACUAUAAUAUAAUUCUGCAUUUUUACUCCGCAUUUUUAUACAACAUAACAACAACGAAGAUAAAACUGUUUUUAUAAUGAUCACUUCCUUAUCGAUACAACCGGGGAAGCGAUGUACGUCUUGAGUAACAAAGCUAAUAUCUCAGAUGGUACCUACAAAGGAAAACUUUUUAAUAGUAUAGAUACGUUCGUCGUGGUUACGGAGCAGCUUUCAAAUGCGUUUCAUUU